Strigops habroptila (Kakapo) is the source of this 1019-nucleotide long non-coding RNA. The record is from Ensembl. NCBI's taxonomy places the organism in Eukaryota, Metazoa, Chordata, Aves, Psittaciformes, Psittacidae.
UCAUAUAAAAAUCAGUAUUUAUGUAAAAAAAUAAUGCACUGCAUAUUGUAAAAUCAGUCAAUAACAGUAUUCACCUUCACACAGAUUUCUAGAGUUUCAGACUUCAAAAGGUGACACAGCAAGGAAAAGAGACUGUAAUUACAUGUGAGGCAGACUGCUUCCUAGGUUCCAUCCCAGAAAUUUACACCCUGAGCCAGCAGGGAGAUUAGGAGCAGAAUAUAAACUCUGCUUACAAUGGAGUGUGUUUUGUACUGCUAAAGCAUUUGUCCAGCCCACACGGAUCUGGGAGUCAGAGCCAGCCCACCUUUGGCAAGGAAAGAGCCACAAAAAUUAAGCUUCUAAAAUGGGGUUGGGAUGAAGGUGCAAGUCAGUGAGUGGAUCUUCCAAGUUCAACACACGGGAACUUUUCUGGAAUCCAAAAACUCACUUUAUGUAGACUUCAUCUCAGUUAGACCAGUUAUCCAAGUUCAAAUAUACUUUACAAAUACAUUUCAUACCAUGCAAGUUUAAAUAAUAUUUUACUGUAAAACUAGAACUCAGCCUUUUUUUUCAUGUUUUUCUCGGGGGGGGGGGGGGGAGAAGUUUGUACUAGAUAAAACAUUUUCUUUUUCGACUAAGAAAAUUUAAGAAACUAAAGAAAGCCUAAUCCCUUGCCUGUUGUAAAUCACUAUAAUGCUACUGACAGUAAUGCAUUCACUUAGUUGAGGGUCUGCCCCAAAACUAUUUUAAAGCCAUGUUAUUAAAAAAUAUGGUAACAGGAUAUAUUCUAAAAAACCCAUCUAAUACACAGUCUGGUGAAGCAUCAGAAUUCUUAUUACAGUUCUUCACUUUUCAGUACUAAAUACUCCAUAAUAAUCAUCACGUAAUAAUUCUUAGUAAGGAAAUACAACAGCUUUUCACUGGUGGUUUUUUUCCUGCUUCUAAAAUGCCCUAUAAAGCUGCAAAACCAUGUAAUUUUUAAGAAGUAUUGUAAGACAGACAAGUUCAAACCAAAUUUUUUGCUUAAAAAAAAAAAAAAA